Molecule: transfer RNA, 90 nt
Filed under: bacterium
Lineage: Bacteria
Description: tRNA-Ser
Rfam family: tRNA
About the family: Transfer RNA (tRNA) molecules are approximately 80 nucleotides in length. Their secondary structure includes four short double-helical elements and three loops (D, anti-codon, and T loops).
Source: RNAcentral
GGAGAGGUGGCUGAGUGGUCGAAAGCACCGCACUCGAAAUGCGGCAGACUGGAAACGGUCUCGAGAGUUCGAAUCUCUCCCUCUCCGCCA